This 462-nucleotide ribosomal RNA is filed under the name uncultured bacterium. Its description in RNAcentral is "partial 16S ribosomal RNA". It matches the Rfam family "Bacterial small subunit ribosomal RNA", at positions 29 to 507 of the family's 1533-position model. The record is from RNAcentral.
AACAAACGCUGGCGGCGUGCCUAAUACAUGCAAGUCGAACGGGGAAAGCUUUCGGGUGAGUACUAGUGGCGCACGGGUGAGGAACGCGUGUAUAAUCUGCCUUAGAGUGGGGGAUAACUAGUCGAAAGAUUAGCUAAUACCGCAUAAGACCACGAGAGCUGCGGCUUUUGAGGUCAAAGGUUUUUCGCUCUAAGAUGAGUCCGCGUAAGAUUAGCUAGUUGGUGAGGUAACGGCUCACCAAGGCGACGAUCUUUAACUGGUCUGAGAGGAUGAUCAGUCACACUGGAACUGAGACACGGUCCAGACUCCUACGGGAGGCAGCAGUAGGGAAUAUUGCACAAUGGAGGAAACUCUGAUGCAGCGACGCCGCGUGAGUGAUGAAGGCCUUCGGGUCGUAAAGCUCUGUCGCAGGGGAAUAACACAAUGAAGGUACCCUGUAAGAAAGGAUCGGCUAACUUCGUG